RNAcentral lists this ribosomal RNA (1465 nucleotides) under human gut metagenome. RNAcentral's name for it is "bacterial LSU rRNA". It matches the Rfam family "Bacterial large subunit ribosomal RNA", at positions 441 to 1980 of the family's 2925-position model. The record is from RNAcentral.
AAGUCGGGGGGACCACCCUCCAAGCCUAAAUACUACCUGAUGACCGAUAGAGGAGCAGUACCGUGAGGGAAAGGUGAAAAGAACCCCGGGAGGGGAGUGAAAGAGUACCUGAAACCUUGUGCUUACAAGCAGACAUAGCCCGUUAAAGGGUGGUGUCGUACUUUUUGUAGAACGGUCCGGCGAGUUAUAGUAACUGGCAAGAUUAAGGUAUUGAGUACCGAAGUCGAAGGGAAACCAAGUGUUAAGAGCGCGUUUAAGUCAGUUGCCAUAGACCCGAAACCAGGUGACCUAGCCAUGGUCAGGCUGAAGUGGAGGUAAAGCUCCAUGGAGGGCCGAACGCACGUUCGUUGCAAUGACCGGCGAUGAACUGUGGCUAGCGGUGAAAUUCCAAACGAACUUGGAGAUAGCUGGUUCUCCCCGAAAUAGUUUUAGGACUAGCGUUGGAAAUGAGUUUAACGGUGGUAAAGCACUGAAUGGGCUAGGGGGCGAUAAGCUUACUGAACCCUAUCAAACUAAGAAUGCCGUAUAAAUGCUUUUCAGCAGUCAGACUACGAGUAAUAAAAUCCGUGGUCAAAAGGGAAAUAGCCCAGACCUACAGCUAAGGUCCCGAAUACAUGCUAAGUGGAAAACGAUGUGAGAUUGCAGAAACAACCAGGAUGUUGGCUUAGAGGCAGCCACUCGUUCAAAGAGUGCGUAAUAGCUCACUGGUCGAGUGAUCUUGCGCGGAAAAUUUAACGGGGCUAAGCAUGUAACCGAAGCUUAGGAUUUGCGGGAAACCGCAAGUGGUAGGGGAGCGUCGAAUGCGGGGUGAAGUCGCAUCGGAAGGAGCGGUGGACUGCAUUCGAGUGAGAAUGCCGGAAUGAGUAGCGAGAAUUAUGUGGGAAUCAUAAUGGCCGAAAAUCUAAGGUUUCUUGGGGAAGGUUCGUCCGCCCAAGGUAAGUCGGGAGCUAAGGCGAGGCCGAGAGGCGUAGUCGAUGCACAUACGGUAGAAAUUCCGUAGCCGGUACAAUUGUUAAGCAUAGUGACACAUGAGCGUAGCGCUACCGGGCGUUGGUUGCCCCGGGCGAAAGCGAGUCGAAUGAGACGAAGUGCGUGAAGCUUGUGGCGAGAAAAGCUAUGCGGAUUGGUUGUACUGCCCGUACCGCAAACCGACACAGGUAGAUGAGGAGAAGAUCCUAAGGCCAACGGGAGAAGGGUUGUUAAGGAACUAGGCAAAUUGACCCCGUAACUUCGGAAUAAGGGGUGCCUACGAGAGUAGGUCGCAGAGAAUCGGCCCAAGCAACUGUUUACCAAAAACACAGGUCUCUGCUAAAUCGAAAGAUGACGUAUAGGGGCUGACGCCUGCCCGGUGCUGGAAGGUUAAGAGGAGGACUUAGGGGAAACCCGAAGGUUUGAAUUGAAGCCCCAGUAAACGGCGGCCGUAACUAUAACGGUCCUAAGGUAGCGAAAUUCCUUGUCAGGUAAG